AGAGUUUGAUCCUGGCUCAGAUUGAACGCUGGCGGCAUGCCUUACACAUGCAAGUCGAACGGCAGCACGGAGCUUGCUCUGGUGGCGAGUGGCGAACGGGUGAGUAAUAUAUCGGAACGUACCCUAGAGUGGGGGAUAACGUAGCGAAAGUUACGCUAAUACCGCAUACGAUCUAAGGAUGAAAGUGGGGGAUCGCAAGACCUCAUGCUCGUGGAGCGGCCGAUAUCUGAUUAGCUAGUUGGUAGGGUAAAGGCCUACCAAGGCAUCGAUCAGUAGCUGGUCUGAGAGGACGACCAGCCACACUGGAACUGAGACACGGUCCAGACUCCUACGGGAGGCAGCAGUGGGGAAUUUUGGACAAUGGGCGAAAGCCUGAUCCAGCAAUGCCGCGUGAGUGAAGAAGGCCUUCGGGUUGUAAAGCUCUUUUGUCAGGGAAGAAACGGUGAGAGCUAAUAUCUCUUGCUAAUGACGGUACCUGAAGAAUAAGCACCGGCUAACUACGUGCCAGCAGCCGCGGUAAUACGUAGGGUGCAAGCGUUAAUCGGAAUUACUGGGCGUAAAGCGUGCGCAGGCGGUUUUGUAAGUCUGAUGUGAAAUCCCCGGGCUCAACCUGGGAAUUGCAUUGGAGACUGCAAGGCUAGAAUCUGGCAGAGGGGGGUAGAAUUCCACGUGUAGCAGUGAAAUGCGUAGAUAUGUGGAGGAACACCGAUGGCGAAAGCAGCCCCCUGGGUCAAGAUUGACGCUCAUGCACGAAAGCGUGGGGAGCAAACAGGAUUAGAUACCCUGGUAGUCCACGCCCUAAACGAUGUCUACUAGUUGUCGGGUCUUAAUUGA
This 834-nucleotide ribosomal RNA is filed under the name uncultured bacterium. RNAcentral describes it as "bacterial SSU rRNA". It matches the Rfam family "Bacterial small subunit ribosomal RNA", at positions 8 to 838 of the family's 1533-position model. The record is from RNAcentral.